UCAAAGGUCAUUUUGUCCACCCCCCCUUCAGUGAGCAGGAACAGUAUCACCUGAUACCAGGCAGAAGAAACCUUCAGCCAAGGCUGUGUUACAGGGAACUGGCUGCCCACAGGCUGGAGGGGAAGGCAGAGAGAGGUGCCUGUAUCCUGUGAAGAACUUUUGGUCUUCUGUUGCCCUCUGGGUGGGUUUCAGAGCAGCCCAAGCCAUAAUUGCAGGCCAUGCCACAGAGGAGGGUCGAGCUCCACCAAAGCCGGAGCAGCGCCAGGCCCAGGCUCCAGGCUCUCUGUCAAUGAGCGGGGAGGCAGGGAGGAUGCUUUUGAU
Molecule: long non-coding RNA, 321 nt
Organism: Pogoniulus pusillus (Red-fronted tinkerbird)
Lineage: Eukaryota; Metazoa; Chordata; Aves; Piciformes; Lybiidae
Exons: 3
Source: RefSeq, a predicted model, not a curated record